Rattus norvegicus (Norway rat) is the source of this 69-nucleotide non-coding RNA. The record is from Rfam. Lineage: Eukaryota; Metazoa; Chordata; Mammalia; Rodentia; Muridae.
GGGGAUUUAGCUCAGUGGCAGAGCACUUGCCUAGCAAGCGCAAGGCCCUGGGUUCGGUCCCCAGCUCCG